RNAcentral lists this ribosomal RNA (360 nucleotides) under Tubifex blanchardi. Its description in RNAcentral is "partial 16S ribosomal RNA". It matches the Rfam family "Bacterial large subunit ribosomal RNA", at positions 1997 to 2592 of the family's 2925-position model. The record is from RNAcentral. Lineage: Eukaryota; Metazoa; Annelida; Clitellata; Tubificida; Naididae.
AGGACAAACGAGAAUACCCCUGUCUCCUUUAAGAGAAUAAAAAUUUAUCUUUAAGUGAAGAAGCUUAAAUACACAUGCAGGACAAGAAGACCCUAUAGAGCUUUACCUAAAGAGUACAAAUAAAGUAAUCUGCGGUUCGGUUGGGGCGACCAGGGGACAUCAAUCACCCCCAAAAAUCUAAGAUUUACCAAUCAUCAUAAAGAUCCUUACAUAAGAUCCAAGAAUCAAGCUACCUUAGGGAUAACAGGCUAAUCCCCUUAGAGAGCCCUUAUCGACAAGGGGGGUUGGCACCUCGAUGUUGGCUUAGGAUUUCUCCGUUGUCGCAGCCGACACGGUUAGAUGGUUUGUUCAACCAUUAAA